CUGCAGCCCGAGUGGUGACCGAUAUUAUUGAGCCUAAAGCGUCCGUAGCCGGUCUGGUAAAUUCUUGGGUAAAUCGGGCAGCUUAACUGUCCGACUUCCGAGGAGACUGCCAGACUUGGGACCGGGAGAGGUCAGAGGUACUCCAGGGGUAGGGGCUAAAUCCUGUAAUCCUUGGGGGACCACCAGUGGCGAAGGCGUCUGACUAGAACGGAUCCGACGGUAAGGGACGAAACCCUGGGGCGCAAACCGGAUUAGAUACCCGUGUAGUCC
RNAcentral lists this ribosomal RNA (270 nucleotides) under uncultured archaeon. RNAcentral's name for it is "partial 16S ribosomal RNA". It matches the Rfam family "Archaeal small subunit ribosomal RNA", at positions 477 to 747 of the family's 1478-position model. The record is from RNAcentral.